GACCGGGUAGCAAAAUGGUUAAUGCGUCAGGCUUGCACCCCCGAAGAUGCCGGUUCGAAUCCGGCCCCGGUCU
This 73-nucleotide transfer RNA is filed under the name Labrys okinawensis. It matches the Rfam family "tRNA". From Rfam's summary of the family: Transfer RNA (tRNA) molecules are approximately 80 nucleotides in length. Lineage: Bacteria; Pseudomonadati; Pseudomonadota; Alphaproteobacteria; Hyphomicrobiales; Xanthobacteraceae. The record is from Rfam by way of RNAcentral.